This 484-nucleotide ribosomal RNA is filed under the name uncultured bacterium. RNAcentral describes it as "partial 16S ribosomal RNA". It matches the Rfam family "Bacterial small subunit ribosomal RNA", at positions 30 to 507 of the family's 1533-position model. The record is from RNAcentral.
AUUGAACGCUGGCGGCAGGCCUAACACAUGCAAGUCGAGCGGAUGAAGGGAGCUUGCUCCUGGAUUCAGCGGCGGACGGGUGAGUAAUGCCUAGGAAUCUGCCUGGUAGUGGGGGAUAACGUCCGGAAACGGGCGCUAAUACCGCGUACGUCCUGAGGGAGAAAGUGGGGGAUCUUCGGACCUCACGCUAUCAGAUGAGCCUAGGUCGGAUUAGCUAGUUGGUGGGGUAAAGGCCUACCAAGGCGACGAUCCGUAACUGGUCUGAGAGGAUGAUCAGUCACACUGGAACUGAGACACGGUCCAGACUCCUACGGGAGGCAGCAGUGGGGAAUAUUGGACAAAGGGCGAAAGCCUGAUCCAGCCAUGCCGCGUGUGUGAAGAAGGUCUUCGGAUUGUAAAGCACUUUAAGUUGGGAGGAAGGGCAGUAAGUUAAUACCUUGCUGUUUUGACGUUACCAACAGAAUAAGCACCGGCUAACUUCGUG